AUUGAACGCUGGCGGCAUGCUUUACACAUGCAAGUCGAACGGUAACAGGCCUUCGGGUGCUGACGAGUGGCGAACGGGUGAGUAAUGCAUCGGAACGUGCCCAGAGGUGGGGGAUAACGCGGCGAAAGCUGUGCUAAUACCGCACGUGAUCUGAGGAUGAAAGCGGGGGACCAGGCAGCAAUGUUUGGCCUCGCGCCUUUGGAGCGGCCGAUGUCAGAUUAGGUAGUUGGUGGGGUAAAGGCCUACCAAGCCGACGAUCUGUAGCUGGUCUGAGAGGACGGCCAGCCACACUAGGACUGGGACACGGCCCAGACUCCUGCGGGAGGCAGCAGUGGGGAAUUUUGGACAAUGGGCGCAAGCCUGAUCCAGCAAUGCCGCGUGCGGGAAGAAGGCCUUCGGGUUGUAAACCGCUUUUGUACGGAACGAAAAGGCUCUGGCUAAUACCUGGGGCUGAUGACGGUACCGUAAGAAUAAGCACCGGCUAACUACGUG
Molecule: ribosomal RNA, 492 nt
Filed under: uncultured bacterium
Lineage: Bacteria
Description: partial 16S ribosomal RNA
Rfam family: Bacterial small subunit ribosomal RNA
Source: RNAcentral